Molecule: small RNA, 76 nt
Filed under: Xanthomonas vasicola
Lineage: Bacteria; Pseudomonadati; Pseudomonadota; Gammaproteobacteria; Lysobacterales; Lysobacteraceae
Description: sX9 sRNA
Rfam family: Xanthomonas sRNA sX9
Source: RNAcentral
AUGUACCACUCGUACACUCCGGUUCCUGUGCGCCGCCCGCACCCGCCUGACGACUGCUCGCCACCAUAUGCGAUGC